CUACGGGUCGCUGCAGGGACGAAUACUUCGCAAUGGGCGAAAGCCUGACGAAGCGACGCCGCGUGCGGGAAGAAGCUCUUCGGGGUGUAAACCGCUGUCAGGGACUACCAAGCAAAUGCGCCUAAUACGCGCACGCGUUGAGGAAUCCCACAGGAAGCCACGGCUAACUCCGUGCCAGCAGCCGCGGUAAUACGGAGGUGGCAAGCGUUGUUCGGAAUCACUGGGCUUAAAGAGCACGUAGGCUGUCUGUCAAGCGUCUUGUGAAAUCCCUCGGCUCAACCGAGGAAUUGCUUGGCGAACUGGCAGACUUGAGGCAAGUAGAGGCGCGCGGAACUCUUGGUGGAGCGGUGAAAUGCGUAGAUAUCAAGAGGAACGCCGGUGGCGAAAGCGGCGCGCUGGGCUUGAUCUGACGCUGAGGUGCGAAAGCUAGGGUAGCGAACGGGAUUAGAUACCCCAGUAGUC
RNAcentral lists this ribosomal RNA (462 nucleotides) under uncultured bacterium. RNAcentral's name for it is "partial 16S ribosomal RNA". It matches the Rfam family "Bacterial small subunit ribosomal RNA", at positions 339 to 795 of the family's 1533-position model. The record is from RNAcentral.